RNAcentral lists this ribosomal RNA (401 nucleotides) under uncultured bacterium. RNAcentral describes it as "bacterial SSU rRNA". It matches the Rfam family "Bacterial small subunit ribosomal RNA", at positions 358 to 773 of the family's 1533-position model. The record is from RNAcentral.
GGAAUAUUGCGCAAUGGGGGAAACCCUGACGCAGCGACGCCGCGUGAGUGAUGAAGGCCUUCGGGUUGUAAAGCUCUGUUGUAGAUGACGAAAAAAAUGACGGUAAUCUACGAGAAAGGACCGGCUAACUUCGUGCCAGCAGCCGCGGUAAGACGAGGGGUCCUAGCGUUGUUCGGAAUUAUUGGGCGUAAAGCGGGUGUAGGCGGCCUGUUUAGUCAGAUGUGAAAGCCCUGGGCUCAACCCAGGAAGUGCAUUUGAUACUGGAGGGCUUGAGUAUGGGAGAGGAUAGUAGAAUUCCUGGUGUAGUGGUGAAAUACGUAGAUAUCAGGAGGAAUACCGGUGGCGAAGGCGGCUAUCUGGCCCAAUACUGACGCUCAGACCCGAAAGCGUGGGUAGCAAAC